UGCCAGCCGCCGCGGUAAUACGUAGGGGGCGAGCGUUAUCCGGAUUUAUUGGGCGUAAAGGGUUCGCAGGCGGCCUUUUAAGUCAGGUGUAAAAGAUCACAGCUCAACUGUGGUAAGCACUUGAAACUGAAAGGCUUGAGUCAAGGAGAGGAAAGUGGAAUUCCUAGUGUAGCGGUGAAAUGCGUAGAUAUUAGGAGGAAUAUCAGUGGCGAAGGCGACUUUCUGGACUUGUACUGACGCUGAGGAACGAAAGUGUGGUUAGCAAACAGGAUUAGAUA
Molecule: ribosomal RNA, 278 nt
Filed under: uncultured bacterium
Lineage: Bacteria
Description: partial 16S ribosomal RNA
Rfam family: Bacterial small subunit ribosomal RNA
Source: RNAcentral